Molecule: long non-coding RNA, 1330 nt
Organism: Passer domesticus (house sparrow)
Lineage: Eukaryota; Metazoa; Chordata; Aves; Passeriformes; Passeridae
Exons: 3
Source: RefSeq, a predicted model, not a curated record
CCUUCUGAAGGCAUUUGGACACUUCAGGAGGCCUAGCAGGAUAAUCCUUGGGGUGGAUACUUUGAAUUCCUGACAGCAGGGGAAAUAGGAACUUGCUGGUGUAAGAACAGUGUUGAGAACUGGAGAAGGAAAGAUCUCAGUGUUCACACACAAAAAAGAGCUAUAGAAGCCUCAAAAUCUCAUUUUACAGCUCAUGGAGACUCAUCAGGGUAUCAGGGUGGAUUGUUUGCUGUUUACUGUGCACCAGAACUGGCAAAAGGCCCAGCAAUACCAAGACAAACUGUGCCUGUCACAUUGCAGGAGUGUCACAACAUCAGUAAUGGCAGAGGGGAAGCUGCAGUAGGCAUCACAGAUAUCCUGUCCAGGGUCCUCCUUCUUUUGCAAUUUACAGGAUGGGUUAUGGAGUUGGUAGAGAAUCAGACUCUUGAUAAUCCUGUCUUUAAUGGGCGAGGUCCAAGCAGGUUGUCUGGCUUGGAUGUUGUGCACAAGUGGGUUUGUGGAGGCUGGAACUUGUCUUGGAGCAUGUGUGCCACCAGCUCUAUGCCAAACUCUUCUAUCUGACCUUGUAGCUGAUUGACUUUUCCUGGAGUUGUAUUCAGUAAAGUCAGAAAAGGGACAAUUUUUACAAGUGAUGCCUGAGUAGGAAUUCUGCUGGUUGGAAGAUGAUGGUUGGAACUGUACCAUUAAAAAUGAUCCACUGCAGUCUCAAGGGAGAGGUUGUAAAAAGCAUGACAGUCAUGACUCAGUUGGUCCAGCAAGAAGGCAUCUGAUCUACUGUUUUUUAAUUCAUAGUGUGGUUCCUGAGUGACCAAUGUAAUCAUUGUGGCCUGAAGAACUUCACAUACAAAGGCAAGAAGGUGCUGCAUUAUAAGUGAGGGAAUGUCCCUGUGAGCUCACAGUAGGACUGAGAAAAUGGGCUUGAUGCCAGAAGGCAGAUAGACCUUUCCCCUACUAUUCCUCAUUCACAUUUCUUGCAUUUGUGUGGUGGUCAGUGCUGUUCUGCCCAUCAGCUGGGUCUGGAAUAAAGACAAUGGAUUGCAUAGAUAAACUAGAGACCUCUGGAAAGGUCUGAACAUCUGAAGUAGUUGAGAUGGGUCACCAGAAAGCUAUGGACUCAAACCAACCUCUUUAUUGAACAAGCUCAGCAGGUUUUGAGUAGCAGGCACUGAGGGCCAGAUGUUUGAUCCUAAGGACAGAGAGAGGAAGGCAUGCUCCUUCCUCCAAGUGCCUUUUCACCAGCCACCAAGCCAAGGGAUUGCAAAUGCCUGCCCAAUGUUUUCUGGGCCCAUUAGAGGAGCCCAGCUGGCGUGAGAGCUGCCGCACUUGGGCA